This 500-nucleotide ribosomal RNA is filed under the name uncultured bacterium. Its description in RNAcentral is "partial 16S ribosomal RNA". It matches the Rfam family "Bacterial small subunit ribosomal RNA", at positions 28 to 507 of the family's 1533-position model. The record is from RNAcentral.
GACGAACGCUGGCGGCGUGCUUAACACAUGCAAGUCGAACGGGUCUGCCCUGUUUUUUGCGGGGUGGGUCAGUGGCGAACGGGUGAGUAACACGUGAGUAACCUGCCCCUCACUUCUGGAUAACCGCUUGAAAGGGUGGCUAAUACGGGGUGUUCUGGCUGUGCCGCAUGGUGUGGCUGGGAAAGAUUCACUUUUGUGGUGUUUUGGUGGGGGAUGGGCUCGCGGCCUAUCAGCUUGUUGGUGGGGUGAUGGCCUGCCAAGGCUUUGACGGGUAGCCGGCGUGGGGGGGUGGGCGGUCACACGGGGACUGAGAUACGGCCCAGACUCCUGCGGGAGGCAGCGGUGGGGGGUAUUGCACAAUGGGCGGAAGCCUGAUGCAGCGACGUCGCGUGAGGGAUGGAGGCCUUCGGGUUGUGAACCUCUUUCGCCGGUGAAGAAGGUCCUGCUCUUUGUGGUGGGGUUGACGGUAGCCGGGUUAUGAAGCGCCGGCUAACUACGUG